This 497-nucleotide ribosomal RNA is filed under the name uncultured bacterium. Its description in RNAcentral is "partial 16S ribosomal RNA". It matches the Rfam family "Bacterial small subunit ribosomal RNA", at positions 28 to 507 of the family's 1533-position model. The record is from RNAcentral.
GAUGAACGCUGGCGGCGUGCCUAAUACAUGCAAGUCGAGCGAACGGACGAGAAGCUUGCUUCUCUGAUGUUAGCGGCGGACGGGUGAGUAACACGUGGAUAACCUACCUAUAAGACUGGGAUAACUUCGGGAAACCGGAGCUAAUACCGGACAAUAUUUUGAACCGCAUGGUUCAAAAGUGAAAGACGGUCUUGCUGUCACUUAUAGAUGGAUCCGCGCUGCAUUAGCUAGUUGGUAAGGUAACGGCUUACCAAGGCAACGAUGCAUAGCCGACCUGAGAGGGGGAUCGGCCACACUGGGACUGGGACACGGUCCCGACUCCUACGGGAGGCAGCAGUAGGGAAUCUUCCGCAAUGGGCGAAAGCCUGACGGAGCAACGCCGCGUGAGUGAUGAAGGUCUUCGGAUCGUAAAACUCUGUUAUUAGGGAAGAACAUAUGUGUAAGUAACUGUGCACAUCUUGACGGUACCUAAUCAGAAAGCCACGGCUAACUACGUG